AAUAAAAUUAUUUAUGGUUUAAAAAUUUAUUAUAAAUUUAUUUUACAUAUAAAUUUUAGUGUUAAUUUUUAAUUUAUUUAAAUAAUAAUUAAUAUUUAUUUGUAGUAAUUAAAAUUAAAAAUUUAAGUAAUUAAGAUUUAGUAAUAUUUAAAUUAAUAACAAAUUUUGUGCCAGCAGUUGCGGUUAUACAAAAAUUAAAUUAAAUUUUUUUAGGGAUUAAUUAAUAAUAGAUUAUAUAAUAAAAUUAAAAUUUAAAUUAUUAAGUGAAAUUUUAAUUUAUGAAAAUUUUAUAUUGAAUUAUGAAUUAAAAAAUUUUAUUAAAGACUAGGAUUAGAUACCCUAUUAUUAAAAAUUUAAAUUAAUAAUACUAAAAUAGUAUAUAAUUAUUUAUAAAAACUUAAAUAAUUUGGCGGUAUUUUAGUUUAUUUAGAGGAAUCUGUUUAUUAAUUGAUAUUCCACGAAUAAAUUUACUUAAUUUAUUUAAUUUUGUAUAUCGUUGUUAAAAAAAUAUUUUAAAAUAAUAAUAAUAUUUUAAUUUUUAUAUUAAAAGUUAAAUCAGAUCAAGAUGCAGAUAUAUAAUUAAGAAUAUAAUGGAUUACAAUAAAUUUAUUUAAUUGGAUGUUAUUUUUAAAAAUUAACUGAAAUUGGAUUUAAAUGUAAUUUUAUUUAAUUUAUUAAAAUGAUUUUAAUUCAAAAUAUGUACAUAUUGCCCGUCGCUUUCAUUAAUAAAUUGAAAUAAGUCGUAACAAAGUAGAGGUACUGGAAAGUGUUUCUAGAAAGAGU
This 783-nucleotide non-coding RNA is filed under the name Bombyx mandarina (wild silkworm). The record is from RNAcentral. Lineage: Eukaryota; Metazoa; Arthropoda; Insecta; Lepidoptera; Bombycidae.